GAUGAACGCUGGCGGCGUGCCUAAUACAUGCAAGUCGAGCGAACAGAUGAGGAGCUUGCUCCUCUGACGUUAGCGGCGGACGGGUGAGUAACACGUGGAUAACCUACCUAUAAGACUGGGAUAACUUCGGGAAACCGGAGCUAAUACCGGAUAAUAUAUUGAACCGCAUGGUUCAAUAGUGAAAGACGGUUUUGCUGUCACUUAUAGAUGGAUCCGCGCCGCAUUAGCUAGUUGUUAAGGUAACGGCUUACCAAGGCAACGAUGCGUAGCCGACCUGAGAGGGUGAUCGGCCACACUGGAACUGAGACACGGUCCAGACUCCUACGGGAGGCAGCAGUAGGGAAUCUUCCGCAAUGGGCGAAAGCCUGACGGAGCAACGCCGAGUGAGUGAUGAAGGUCUUCGGGUCGUAAAACUCUGUUAUUAGGGAAGAACAAAUGUGUAAGUAACUAUGCACGUCUUGACGGUACCUAAUCAGAAAGCCACGGCUAACUACGUG
Molecule: ribosomal RNA, 497 nt
Filed under: uncultured bacterium
Lineage: Bacteria
Description: partial 16S ribosomal RNA
Rfam family: Bacterial small subunit ribosomal RNA
Source: RNAcentral